RNAcentral lists this transfer RNA (67 nucleotides) under Sesia bembeciformis. RNAcentral's name for it is "transfer RNA-Leu (CUN)". RNAcentral also lists the same sequence under 1 other name. The record is from RNAcentral. Lineage: Eukaryota; Metazoa; Arthropoda; Insecta; Lepidoptera; Sesiidae.
ACUAUUUUGGCAGAAAAAUGUAAUGGUUUUAGAAAUCAUUUAUAUAUAAUUAUUUAUAUAUUUAGUA